GACGAACGCUGGCGGCGUGCUUAACACAUGCAAGUCGAACGGAAAGGCCCCUUUUGGGGUACUCGAGUGGCGCACGGGUGUGUAACACGUGAGUAACCUGCCCUUGACUUCGGGAUAACUUCAGGAAACUGGGGCUAAUACCGGAUAGGAAUCCUUGCUGCAUGGUGGGGGUUGGAAAGCUUCGGCGGUUUUGGAUGGACUCGCGGCUUAUCAGCUUGUUGGUGGGGUAGUGGCUUACCAAGGCUUUGACGGGUAGCCGGCCUGAGAGGGCGACCGGCCACAUUGGGACUGAGAUACGGCCCAGACUCCUACGGGAGGCAGCAGUGGGGAAUAUUGCACAAUGGGCGGAAGCCUGAUGCAGCAACGCCGCGUGCGGGAUGACGGCCUUCGGGUUGUAAACCGCUUUCAGCAGGGGCGAAGCUUGUGGUGACGGUACCUGCAGAAGAAGCACCGGCUAACUACGUG
Molecule: ribosomal RNA, 465 nt
Filed under: uncultured bacterium
Lineage: Bacteria
Description: partial 16S ribosomal RNA
Rfam family: Bacterial small subunit ribosomal RNA
Source: RNAcentral